AACAUCGCCUCUUGAUAACAUAAGAGGUCCAGCCUGCCCAGUGACUCAAUUUAACGGCCGCGGUAUCCUAACCGUGCAAAGGUAGCGUAAUCACUUGUCUUCUAAAUAAAGACUAGUAUGAAAGGCACCACGAGAACUAAACUGUCUCCUUUUUCUAAUCAGUGAACCUAAUCUCCCUGUGAAAAAGCAGGGAUUUAAUAAUAAGACGAGAAGACCCUAUGGAGCUUUAAACACAUAACACUGCCCUUUUACACCACAAUGUUCCCAUGCACAAUGAUUAAGAGUUUUUAGUUGGGGUGACUACGGAGUAAACCCACCCUCCGCGAUGAAUCUUAAACAAGCGACAGCUUUAUACAUCAGCAAACUGACACCAUUGACCCAAUUUAUUGAUCAACGAACCAAGUUACCCUAGGGAUAACAGCGCAAUCCCCUUAGAGAGCCCCUAUCGACAAGGGGGCUUACGACCUCGAUGUUGGAUCAAGAUGUCCUAGUGGUGCAGCAGCUACUAAGGGUUCGUUUGUUCAACGAUUAAAACCUUACGUGAUC
This 546-nucleotide ribosomal RNA is filed under the name Pristimantis zeuctotylus (Sipaliwini robber frog). Its description in RNAcentral is "partial large subunit ribosomal RNA". It matches the Rfam family "Bacterial large subunit ribosomal RNA", at positions 1812 to 2605 of the family's 2925-position model. The record is from RNAcentral. Lineage: Eukaryota; Metazoa; Chordata; Amphibia; Anura; Strabomantidae.